Molecule: ribosomal RNA, 480 nt
Filed under: uncultured bacterium
Lineage: Bacteria
Description: partial 16S ribosomal RNA
Rfam family: Bacterial small subunit ribosomal RNA
Source: RNAcentral
GACAAACGCUGGCGGCGUGCCUAAUACAUGCAAGUCGAACGACGAAAGCCUUCGGGCAAGUAAGAGUGGCGCACGGGCGAGGAACACGUAGAUAAUCUGCCCUUCAGUGGGGAAUAACUCUCCGAAAGGAGUGCUAAUACCGCAUAAGACCACAAGCUCUGCGGAGCAAGGGGUUAAAGGAUUUAUUCGCUGAAGGAUGAGUCUGCGUCCGAUUAGCUAGUUGGUGAGGUAAUGGCUCACCAAGGCAAUGAUCGGUAGAUGGUCUGAGAGGAUUAUCAUCCGCACUGGAACUGAGACACGGUCCAGACUCCUACGGGAGGGAGCAGGAGGGAAUAUUGCAAAAUGGGGGAAACCCUGAUGCAGCAACGCCGCGUGAGUGAUGAAGGCUCUAGGGUCGUAAAGCUCUGUCGUAUGGGAAGAAAAAAAUGACGGUACCAUACAAGAAAGGACCGGCCAACUUCGUGCCAGCCGCCGCAGUAA